UCCAUGCAAGACGCCAUCUCUUUAUUCCUUUGUGUUUAGUUCAUCUGAAUUUCCUUUAUAGCCAGAAUCUGUUUGGUUUUAUACUUUGCGUGCUCCACACUGGACCUUUGAAAGUGGAAAUUAGGGCAUGGGGUGAAGAUCUUUCUUCACUAUGGACCAGAGGCCAACAGACAAGCCAAAAAGGAGCCACGAGAGGAGGCUGGGUUUCUAAAACCUCAAUGGCACUUGGGUGUUCUGAAGCUGAAAAGAUCAAGAAAUGAGAUUAAAGAAUAAAACCUACGAUUGCAUGGAUUCUUCUAUUAAAAAUAAUAAAAUGGGGCCAGCGCUGUGGCACAGUAGGUUAAUCUUCUGUCUGUGGCACCAGCAUUCCAUAUGGGCGCCGGUUCGAGUCCCGGCUGCUCCACUUCUGAUCCAGCUCUCUGCUAUGGCCUGGGAAAGCAGCAAAAGAUGGCCCAAGUCCUUGGGCCCCUGCACCUGCGUGGGAGACCUGAAAGAAGCUCCUGCUUCCUGGCUUCGGAUCUGCUCAGCUACAGCUGUUGCAGCCAUUUGGGGAGUGAAACAGAGGAUGGAAGACCUCUCUUUCUGUCUCUCCCUCUCACUGUCUGUAACUCUACCUCUCGAAUAAAUAAAAUCUUUAAAAAAAAAAUACAAGUCAGUCAUCACAGAUUCAGGGGAAGGUUUACAUCAUAAAAAGAAUUGAUGAUAUGCACCAGAAUCCCAGCACUGAUUCAUUAAUAAAUAGGAAAUUUCUAAUUGGAAAGUCUGCUUUUCCAAUACUUAGAUGUCACUUUGUGGCAUAUAAAAUAAAUAAGCUCUUUAAAGUC
Non-coding RNA from Oryctolagus cuniculus (rabbit), 824 nucleotides. NCBI's taxonomy places the organism in Eukaryota, Metazoa, Chordata, Mammalia, Lagomorpha, Leporidae. The record is from RefSeq and is a predicted model, not a curated record.